This 1586-nucleotide long non-coding RNA is filed under the name Heterocephalus glaber (naked mole-rat). RNAcentral describes it as "lncRNA (ENSHGLG00100047596.1)". Lineage: Eukaryota; Metazoa; Chordata; Mammalia; Rodentia; Bathyergidae. The record is from RNAcentral.
CCCGUGCUCAGAGAGGUCAGCAUGCUCAGGAUCACAGCGAGAAGCUAGUGGAGUCAGGACGCAAACUCAGAUCCGUCUGGUUCCAGAGCUUUCUAAAGUAUGUUUGUCUGGGGAAGAAUCAGCCCCACAUGGGCCUGGAAAGAGGCGUGGGGUGAAGGAAUGUUUUACAAUACGCUUGGGGGCGCUGCGCUUGUGCACACCUGUAAUCCCAGCUACUCAGAGGCUGAAACAGGACUGAAAGUUCAAGGCCAGGCUGGGCAACUUGGCAAGACCCCCGUCUCAGAAUGAAAAUGCCCGGAUGUAGCUCUGGCAGAGCACCUGCCUAGCUCAUGUGGGGCCUGGCUUCAGUUCCCAGUACCACCGAAGAGCUGUGCCCUGGGACAGUCCAACUGCUUUUCUGUUGCAGGGGAGUAGGGUUGUGUCCUGCUGUGUGCGUGCAUGUGUGUGUGCGUGUGAGGAGAAUUUAGUCAGAAUAGGAAAGAAUUCCAAAUCCGUAUCUGUUACCUAAAAUGCCUACCCCUGCCAGUCCAAAGCAGACCACUCAGGACCCUCAGAAUCUGCGAAAGGACAUGCCCCAGGAGGAAUGCCCCUCUCCUCCCAAGCCUGGGGAGGAAGGGAGACUGGACUCUUCCCACAUCCAGCAUUGCUCAGGGCCCUCUGCCCUGUGGAGUGCUCCAGAUCAAAGCUACCGGGUGGCGCAGUUCUCCCACCCACUGCAGGCUGGCAUCGAUGGAUGCUCCUUCCCACUUCUGAAUGCACCUUUCCCUCUGCCUCUCCGCCACUGCCUGCAGUGCCCAGGGCCAGAGAGUGCACCAGGCCUAGGUCCCCAGCACGCUCCACGGCUAGCUGAGUGGGAGCACAGCUCUUCCACCGUCACCCGAGGAAGGAACGCCACACACCACCUCAGAUGACUAUCCGGCAGAAGCUGGCCGAGAACCUUUGCCUCACUGUCUUGUCCUGUUCUUGUUUGUCUUUUGGCUUUGGAAUUGCAUAGAGUUCUCUGCCAAAGCUAAUCACUUAAGAUUUGCAGGGAGUGGGUGGAGGUGAGCAAAGGAAGCAUCUGGAGAAGUGUGGCUAUUCGUGCCGUUUUGGUGGAACCGCCCCAUUUUAGCACAUGGUUUACAUGCUGAGGUUAGGGUCCCUGGAAAUGGGAGUGUGACUUGCUUGCCCCGCAGAGCAGACGGGGGCAGCCCUGGACCCCAAGGUGCUGAGGGCUGUCUCUGUCUCAGGCCGCAAAGCUCUCAGGCUGGGCAACUUGGUUAUACCCAGAGGUGCCAAAACUUCCUUCUUUCUGAGCUUCUGGAGGAGUCCUGCCCACCCACCCACUAACUCUGGUUUUGCUUUGCAGUAGUAACAGGCAUUUGAAUUGACCUUUGAGAACAGGAAAUGCUCUUUGGUUUCUCAUGGCACAUGCGGCACAGCUGGUGACAUUCUGUCCUGCGGUUCAGUGGCCUUGAGGACAAAAGACACUGGUACGACUAUGUCCCUUUCAUCCACUCACUGUCCUGGUCCAGCAGCUAUAGCCAGAGUCCUGGGACCCUCUGGCUUUUUCAUUCUGCUGGCACCCCCAAAGGCAACCAGCCCCC